This 478-nucleotide ribosomal RNA is filed under the name uncultured bacterium. Its description in RNAcentral is "partial 16S ribosomal RNA". It matches the Rfam family "Bacterial small subunit ribosomal RNA", at positions 28 to 523 of the family's 1533-position model. The record is from RNAcentral.
GACGAACGCUGGCGGCGUGCUUAACACAUGCAAGUCGAGCGAUGAAGCACCUUCGGUGUGAAUUAGCGGCGAGCGGGUGAGGAACACGUGAGAAAUCUGCCUUCAACUCUGGGAUAACUCCGUGAAAACGGGGCUAAUACCGGAUAUGAAACCUGCGGGCAUCCGCGGGUUUGGAAAGUUUUUCGGUUGAAGAUGAUCCCGCGGCCUAUCAGCUUGUUGGUGAGGUAAUGGCUCACCAAGGCGACGACGGGUAGCCGGCCUGAGAGGGCGACCGGCCACACUGGGACUGAGACACGGCCCAGACUCCUACGGGAGGCAGCAGUGGGGAAUAUUGGGCAAUGGAGGAAACUCUGACCCAGCGACGCCGCGUGCGGGAUGAAGGCCUUCGGGUUGUAAACCGCUUUCAGCAGGGAAGAAGCGAAAGUGACGGUACCUGCAGAAGAAGCACCGGCUAACUAUGUGCCAGCCGCCGCAGUAA